This 637-nucleotide unclassified non-coding RNA is filed under the name Hevea brasiliensis (rubber tree). Lineage: Eukaryota; Viridiplantae; Streptophyta; Magnoliopsida; Malpighiales; Euphorbiaceae. The record is from RNAcentral.
UGCUUUUAUUCAGAAAAGCAGUUUGGGCCUUCAAACUCAAUGUCAAACAAACACUUAGUUAAUUGCUGCUUUGAAAAUAAAAAAUAUUUCAUUGGCAGUCAGUGGGCCAUUGUUUGGUGGGGCUCACAGCCAUAGGGUGUACGGAGCUGACAGUUAUUGCAAAAUGCUGAAUAAUGGGACUGUGUUGGGAAUGUAAAUUCCAUAUAAAUGGUUAGGUUGUAACAUUAAAGUGUGUAGAUCAAAAUAUAAUGCAACUCAGUCUAUAUUAAAAUGAAUUAAGACGUAAUUUGUUUAACAUUCUUUCCAAAUUUAACAUGGUAUUAGAGCGUGAUUAGGUUGUGGGUUUCAGCCGUCCAUUGUUUCCAUAUUGGGUUAAUAGUACUUAAUUGCCAUAUUGGGUUAAUUGAUGUAUAAAGCAAUUUAUUUACUUAUAUAAGCAUGCAUUAAAAUGAAUUUAUUCGUAAUUUGUCCAAUACUCUCUCCAAAUUUAACAUAUCCGAUUCUGCCCUUGAGGCUGGGUAAUGGGCUUCUUGAGUAUUUUAUGUGUUGUGAACUGAGGGACUAUAAUUUUCCAGUCCACCUUUUACUAAAUGGAAUUUCAUUUAAGCAGUAUUGGUAAAAUUGUUAUGAGAAGGUG